RNAcentral lists this long non-coding RNA (458 nucleotides) under Phoenix dactylifera (date palm). RNAcentral describes it as "long non-coding RNA (PDAC_LNC010274)". Lineage: Eukaryota; Viridiplantae; Streptophyta; Magnoliopsida; Arecales; Arecaceae. The record is from RNAcentral.
AGAGAGCUUGGAUGAAGGUUUUCACGGUUGAGAAGAGAUAGGAGUGUUGGAAAUCUCAUGCGGUUGCUGGAUAAGGAUGGAUCAUGUAACCAAAUUGAACUCUGUUCGGUAACAAGGGAAUCCGAAAGAAGAUUUGAUGGCUGGGAGAAAAUCCAUGGAGGGGAAUGUAAUUGCUUUGAUUCGUGAUGAAGAGGAGAUGAUUUAGGAGCAGAGGAUGUGAAUGAAUCAGUUGUUUCGUUGUAAGUUGCUGGGCAUCUUAUUCUUCACGACUGAAACGGGGGAUUCAGUUUGGAUGAAGAAGAGGGAGCCGUAUGCAUGGAGUGGGUAAUAAUCCAUUGGGAAACAGAUGGAGUUCGAAGUUGUUAAUCCAUGAAACUCGGGAUGAAGCUGAUGGCUUGGUUCGGAAGAGGGAAGACACGCGGAUGGGAGGAAUCCGGAAGAGGAGGAAGUUUGUUCUG